GACGAACGCUGGCGGCGUGCCUAAUACAUGCAAGUAGAACGCUGAAGGAGGAGCUUGCUUCUCUGGAUGAGUUGCGAACGGGUGAGUAACGCGUAGGUAACCUGCCUGGUAGCGGGGGAUAACUAUUGGAAACGAUAGCUAAUACCGCAUAAGAGUAGAUGUCGCAUGACAUUUGCUUAAAAGGUGCAAUUGCAUCACUACCAGAUGGACCUGCGUUGUAUUAGCUAGUUGGUGAGGUAACGGCUCACCAAGGCAACGAUACAUAGCCGACCUGAGAGGGUGAUCGGCCACACUGGGACUGAGACACGGCCCAGACUCCUACGGGAGGCAGCAGUAGGGAAUCUUCGGCAAUGGACGGAAGUCUGACCGAGCAACGCCGCGUGAGUGAAGAAGGUUUUCGGAUCGUAAAGCUCUGUUGUAAGAGAAGAACGAGUGUGAGAGUGGAAGGUUCACACUGUGACGGUAUCUUACCAGAAAGGGACGGCUAACUACGUG
Molecule: ribosomal RNA, 495 nt
Filed under: uncultured bacterium
Lineage: Bacteria
Description: partial 16S ribosomal RNA
Rfam family: Bacterial small subunit ribosomal RNA
Source: RNAcentral